Molecule: ribosomal RNA, 254 nt
Filed under: uncultured bacterium
Lineage: Bacteria
Description: partial 16S ribosomal RNA
Rfam family: Bacterial small subunit ribosomal RNA
Source: RNAcentral
UACGUAGGGGGCAAGCGUUACCCGGAUUCACUGGGCGUAAAGCGCGUGUAGGCGGCUGGCCAAGCGUGGUGUGAAAUCUCCGGGCUCAACCCGGAAACUGCACUGCGAACUGGCCUGGCUGGAGUGCAGGAGAGGGAUGCGGAAUUCACGGUGUAGCGGUGAAAUGCGUAGAUAUCGUGAGGAACACCAGUGGCGAAGGCGGCAUCCUGGCCUGUAACUGACGCUGAGACGCGAAAGCGUGGGGAGCGAACCGG